UUGAUGAGAUUCAGAACUGACAGCAAUUCUCAGGAUCCUACCACCUGAGCAACAGACCAGAUCACAGUAAAGCCAGUGAAUCACAGUGAAGAUAUCCCUGAGGCUGAUGUCACCAGACGACACCUCAGAGCCAAAGCAGGUGCUAAAGGAGCGCUGCUCACUCUGGAAGGUUUGGCUGAUAAGCAGUCUUGAAGUAAACAAGCUAUCUGGAGAUGCAUUUUUGGCACAGAAAUUAGUCCUGAUUAUCAAGGACUGAAGGAACAGUAACAGUUUAAACCUCCUAAGUGAG
Molecule: long non-coding RNA, 289 nt
Organism: Vidua macroura (Pin-tailed whydah)
Lineage: Eukaryota; Metazoa; Chordata; Aves; Passeriformes; Viduidae
Exons: 3
Source: RefSeq, a predicted model, not a curated record